Molecule: ribosomal RNA, 725 nt
Filed under: Pseudonocardia sp.
Lineage: Bacteria; Bacillati; Actinomycetota; Actinomycetes; Pseudonocardiales; Pseudonocardiaceae
Description: bacterial SSU rRNA
Rfam family: Bacterial small subunit ribosomal RNA
Source: RNAcentral
GAGUACACGAGCGGCGAACGGGUGAGUAACACGUGGGUGACCUGCCCUCAGCUCUGGGAUAAGCCUGGGAAACUGGGUCUAAUACCGGAUAUGACCUGCUGUUGCAUGACAGUGGGUGGAAAGUUUUUCGGCUGGGGAUGGGCCCGCGGCCUAUCAGCUUGUUGGUGGGGUGAUGGCCUACCAAGGCGACGACGGGUAGCCGGCCUGAGAGGGCGACCGGCCACACUGGGACUGAGAUACGGCCCAGACUCCUACGGGAGGCAGCAGUGGGGAAUAUUGCGCAAUGGGCGAAAGCCUGACGCAGCGACGCCGCGUGGGGGAUGACGGCCUUCGGGUUGUAAACCUCUUUCGACCGGGACGAAGGGUGACUGACGGUACCGGUAGAAGAAGCACCGGCCAACUACGUGCCAGCAGCCGCGGUAAUACGUAGGGUGCGAGCGUUGUCCGGAAUUAUUGGGCGUAAAGAGCUCGUAGGCGGUGUGUCACGUCGGUCGUGAAAACUUGGGGCUUAACCCUGAGCGUGCGGUCGAUACGGGCAUCACUUGAGUUCGGCAGGGGAGACUGGAAUUCCUGGUGUAGCGGUGAAAUGCGCAGAUAUCAGGAGGAACACCGGUGGCGAAGGCGGGUCUCUGGGCCGAUACUGACGCUGAGGAGCGAAAGCGUGGGGAGCGAACAGGAUUAGAUACCCUGGUAGUCCACGCCGUAAACGGUGGGCACUAGGUGUG